This 760-nucleotide ribosomal RNA is filed under the name uncultured Bacteroidota bacterium. RNAcentral's name for it is "bacterial SSU rRNA". It matches the Rfam family "Bacterial small subunit ribosomal RNA", at positions 54 to 833 of the family's 1533-position model. The record is from RNAcentral. Lineage: Bacteria; Pseudomonadati; Bacteroidota.
CAUGCAAGUCGAACGGUAGAGGGGGCAACCCCUUGAGAGUGGCGAACGGGUGAGUAAUAUAUCGGAACGUGCCCAGUCGUGGGGGAUAACGUAGCGAAAGUUACGCUAAUACCGCAUACGAUCUAUGGAUGAAAGCGGGGGACCGUAAGGCCUCGCGCGAUUGGAGCGGCCGAUAUCAGAUUAGGUAGUUGGUGGGGUAAAGGCUCACCAAGCCAACGAUCUGUAGCUGGUCUGAGAGGACGACCAGCCACACUGGAACUGAGACACGGUCCAGACUCCUACGGGAGGCAGCAGUGGGGAAUAUUGGGCAAUGGGCGAAAGCCUGACCCAGCGACGCCGCGUGAGGGAUGAAGGUCUUCGGAUUGUAAACCUCUUUCAGUAGGGAAGAAGCGAAAGUGACGGUACCUAAAGAAGAAGCACCGGCUAACUAUGUGCCAGCAGCCGCGGUAAUACAUAGGGUGCAAGCGUUGUCCGGAAUUAUUGGGCGUAAAGAGCUCGUAGGUCGUUUGUCGCGUCGAUUGUGAAAAUCUGAGGCUCAACCUCAGACCUGCAGUCGAUACGGGCAAACUAGAGUGUGGUAGGGGAGACUGGAAUUCCUGGUGUAGCGGUGGAAUGCGCAGAUAUCAGGAGGAACACCAAUGGCGAAGGCAGGUCUCUGGGCCAUAACUGACACUGAGGAGCGAAAGUGCGGGGAGCGAACAGGAUUAGAUACCCUGGUAGUCCGCACCGUAAACGGUGGGCACUAGUUGUGGGAAUCUUC